AGCGUACACGGUGGAUGCCCUGGCAGUCAGAGGCGAUGAAGGACGUGCUAAUCUGCGAUAAGCGUCGGUAAGGUGAUAUGAACCGUUAUAACCGGCGAUUUCCGAAUGGGGAAACCCAGUGUGUUUCGACACACUAUCAUUAACUGAAUCCAUAGGUUAAUGAGGCGAACCGGGGGAACUGAAACAUCUAAGUACCCCGAGGAAAAGAAAUCAACCGAGAUUCCCCCAGUAGCGGCGAGCGAACGGGGAGGAGCCCAGAGCCUGAAUCAGUGUGUGUGUUAGUGGAAGCGUCUGGAAAGGCGCGCGAUACAGGGUGACAGCCCCGUACACAAAAAUGCACAUGCUGUGAGCUCGAUGAGUAGGGCGGGACACGUGGUAUCCUGUCUGAAUAUGGGGGGACCAUCCUCCAAGGCUAAAUACUCCUGACUGACCGAUAGUGAACCAGUACCGUGAGGGAAAGGCGAAAAGAACCCCGGCGAGGGGAGUGAAAAAGAACCUGAAACCGUGUACGUACAAGCAGUGGGAGCACGCUUAGGCGUGUGACUGCGUACCUUUUGUAUAAUGGGUCAGCGACUUAUAUUCUGUAGCAAGGUUAACCGAAUAGGGGAGCCGAAGGGAAACCGAGUCUUAACUGGGCGUUAAGUUGCAGGGUAUAGACCCGAAACCCGGUGAUCUAGCCAUGGGCAGGUUGAAGGUUGGGUAACACUAACUGGAGGACCGAACCGACUAAUGUUGAAAAAUUAGCGGAUGACUUGUGGCUGGGGGUGAAAGGCCAAUCAAACCGGGAGAUAGCUGGUUCUCCCCGAAAGCUAUUUAGGUAGCGCCUCGUGAAUUCAUCUCCGGGGGUAGAGCACUGUUUCGGCAAGGGGGUCAUCCCGACUUACCAACCCGAUGCAAACUGCGAAUACCGGAGAAUGUUAUCACGGGAGACACACGGCGGGUGCUAACGUCCGUCGUGAAGAGGGAAACAACCCAGACCGCCAGCUAAGGUCCCAAAGUCAUGGUUAAGUGGGAAACGAUGUGGGAAGGCCCAGACAGCCAGGAUGUUGGCUUAGAAGCAGCCAUCAUUUAAAGAAAGCGUAAUAGCUCACUGGUCGAGUCGGCCUGCGCGGAAGAUGUAACGGGGCUAAACCAUGCACCGAAGCUGCGGCAGCGACGCUGAUGCGUUGUUGGGUAGGGGAGCGUUCUGUAAGCCUGUGAAGGUGUGCUGUGAGGCAUGCUGGAGGUAUCAGAAGUGCGAAUGCUGACAUAAGUAACGAUAAAGCGGGUGAAAAGCCCGCUCGCCGGAAGACCAAGGGUUCCUGUCCAACGUUAAUCGGGGCAGGGUGAGUCGACCCCUAAGGCGAGGCCGAAAGGCGUAGUCGAUGGGAAACAGGUUAAUAUUCCUGUACUUGGUGUUACUGCGAAGGGGGGACGGAGAAGGCUAUGUUGGCCGGGCGACGGUUGUCCCGGUUUAAGCGUGUAGGCUGGUUUUCCAGGCAAAUCCGGAAAACUAAGGCUGAGGCGUGAUGACGAGGCACUACGGUGCUGAAGCAACAAAUGCCCUGCUUCCAGGAAAAGCCUCUAAGCAUCAGGUAACAUCAAAUCGUACCCCAAACCGACACAGGUGGUCAGGUAGAGAAUACCAAGGCGCUUGAGAGAACUCGGGUGAAGGAACUAGGCAAAAUGGUGCCGUAACUUCGGGAGAAGGCACGCUGAUAUGUAGGUGAAGUCCCUCGCGGAUGGAGCUGAAAUCAGUCGAAGAUACCAGCUGGCUGCAACUGUUUAUUAAAAACACAGCACUGUGCAAACACGAAAGUGGACGUAUACGGUGUGACGCCUGCCCGGUGCCGGAAGGUUAAUUGAUGGGGUCAGCGCAAGCGAAGCUCUUGAUCGAAGCCCCGGUAAACGGCGGCCGUAACUAUAACGGUCCUAAGGUAGCGAAAUUCCUUGUCGGGUAAGUUCCGACCUGCACGAAUGGCGUAAUGAUGGCCAGGCUGUCUCCACCCGAGACUCAGUGAAAUUGAACUCGCUGUGAAGAUGCAGUGUACCCGCGGCAAGACGGAAAGACCCCGUGAACCUUUACUAUAGCUUGACACUGAACAUUGAGCCUUGAUGUGUAGGAUAGGUGGGAGGCUUUGAAGUGUGGACGCCAGUCUGCAUGGAGCCGACCUUGAAAUACCACCCUUUAAUGUUUGAUGUUCUAACGUUGACCCGUAAUCCGGGUUGCGGACAGUGUCUGGUGGGUAGUUUGACUGGGGCGGUCUCCUCCUAAAGAGUAACGGAGGAGCACGAAGGUUGGCUAAUCCUGGUCGGACAUCAGGAGGUUAGUGCAAUGGCAUAAGCCAGCUUGACUGCAAGCGUGACGGCGCGAGCAGGUGCGAAAGCAGGUCAUAGUGAUCCGGUGGUUCUGAAUGGAAGGGCCAUCGCUCAACGGAUAAAAGGUACUCCGGGGAUAACAGGCUGAUACCGCCCAAGAGUUCAUAUCGACGGCGGUGUUUGGCACCUCGAUGUCGGCUCAUCACAUCCUGGGGCUGAAGUAGGUCCCAAGGGUAUGGCUGUUCGCCAUUUAAAGUGGUACGCGAGCUGGGUUUAGAACGUCGUGAGACAGUUCGGUCCCUAUCUGCCGUGGGCGCUGGAGAACUGAGGGGGGCUGCUCCUAGUACGAGAGGACCGGAGUGGACGCAUCACUGGUGUUCGGGUUGUCAUGCCAAUGGCACUGCCCGGUAGCUAAAUGCGGAAGAGAUAAGUGCUGAAAGCAUCUAAGCACGAAACUUGCCCCGAGAUGAGUUCUCCCUGACUCCUUGA
Molecule: ribosomal RNA, 2787 nt
Filed under: Escherichia coli
Lineage: Bacteria; Pseudomonadati; Pseudomonadota; Gammaproteobacteria; Enterobacterales; Enterobacteriaceae
Description: bacterial LSU rRNA
Rfam family: Bacterial large subunit ribosomal RNA
Source: RNAcentral